AUUGAACGCUGGCGGCAGGCCUAACACAUGCAAGUCGAGCGGAUGAAGGGAGCUUGCUCCUGGAUUCCGCGGCGGACGGGUGAGUAAUGCCUAGGAAUCUGCCUGGUAGUGGGGGCUAACGUCCGGACACGGGCGCUAAUACCGCAUACGUCCUGAGGGAGAAAGUGGGGGAUCUUCGGACCUCACGCUAUCAGAUGAGCCUAGGUCGGAUUAGCUAGUUGGUGGGGUAAAGGCCUACCAAGGCGACGAUCCGUAACUGGUCUGAGAGGGUGAUCAGUCACACUGGAACUGAGACACGGUCCAGACUCCUACGGGAGGCAGCAGUGGGGAAUAUUGGACAAUGGGCGAAAGCCUGAUCCAGCCAUGCCGCGUGUGUGAAGAAGGUCUUCGGAUUGUAAAGCACUUUAAGUUGGGAGGAAGGGCAGUAAGUUAAUACCUUGCUGUUUUGACGUUACCAACAGAAUAAGCACCGGCUAACUUCGUG
RNAcentral lists this ribosomal RNA (484 nucleotides) under uncultured bacterium. RNAcentral's name for it is "partial 16S ribosomal RNA". It matches the Rfam family "Bacterial small subunit ribosomal RNA", at positions 30 to 507 of the family's 1533-position model. The record is from RNAcentral.